Molecule: ribosomal RNA, 911 nt
Filed under: Penicillium chrysogenum
Lineage: Eukaryota; Fungi; Ascomycota; Eurotiomycetes; Eurotiales; Aspergillaceae
Description: LSU rRNA
Rfam family: Eukaryotic large subunit ribosomal RNA
Source: RNAcentral
GCAUAUCAAUAAGCGGAGGAAAAAGAAACCAACAGGGAUUGCCCCAGUAACGGCGAGUGAAGCGGCAAGAGCUCAAAUUUGAAAGCUGGCUCCUUCGGGGUCCGCAUUGUAAUUUGUAGAGGAUGCUUCGGGAGCGGUCCCCAUCUAAGUGCCCUGGAACGGGACGUCAUAGAGGGUGAGAAUCCCGUAUGGGAUGGGGUGUCCGCGCCCGUGUGAAGCUCCUUCGACGAGUCGAGUUGUUUGGGAAUGCAGCUCUAAAUGGGUGGUAAAUUUCAUCUAAAGCUAAAUAUUGGCCGGAGACCGAUAGCGCACAAGUAGAGUGAUCGAAAGAUGAAAAGCACUUUGAAAAGAGAGUUAAAAAGCACGUGAAAUUGUUGAAAGGGAAGCGCUUGCGACCAGACUCGCUCGCGGGGUUCAGCCGGCAUUCGUGCCGGUGUACUUCCCCGCGGGCGGGCCAGCGUCGGUUUGGGCGGUCGGUCAAAGGCCCUCGGAAGGUAACGCCCCUAGGGGCGUCUUAUAGCCGAGGGUGCAAUGCGACCUGCCUAGACCGAGGAACGCGCUUCGGCUCGGACGCUGGCAUAAUGGUCGUAAACGACCCGUCUUGAAACACGGACCAAGGAGUCUAACAUCUACGCGAGUGUUCGGGUGUCAAACCCGUGCGCGAAGUGAAAGCGAACGGAGGUGGGAACCCUCACGGGUGCACCAUCGACCGAUCCUGAAGUCUUCGGAUGGAUUUGAGUAAGAGCGUAGCUGUUGGGACCCGAAAGAUGGUGAACUAUGCCUGAAUAGGGCGAAGCCAGAGGAAACUCUGGUGGAGGCUCGUAGCGGUUCUGACGUGCAAAUCGAUCGUCGAAAUUUGGGUAUAGGGGGCGAAAGACUAAUCGAACCAUCUGGUAGCUGGUUCCUGCCGA